Molecule: ribosomal RNA, 480 nt
Filed under: uncultured bacterium
Lineage: Bacteria
Description: bacterial SSU rRNA
Rfam family: Bacterial small subunit ribosomal RNA
Source: RNAcentral
GAUGAACGCUAGCGGCAGGCCUAAUACAUGCAAGUCGAACGGUGUCUUCGGACAUAGUGGCGCACGGGUGCGUAACACGUAUGCAACCUACCUUACAUUGGGGGAGUAGCCUUCCGAAAGGGAGAUUAAUACCGCAUAAGACAGUAGCUGGGCAUCCAGCAGCUGUUAAAGAUUUAUCGAUGUAAGCUGGGCAUGCGUCCAAUUAGCUAGUUGGUGAGGUAACGGCUCACCAAGGCUUUGAUUGGUAGGGGAACUGAGAGGUCAAUCCCCCACACUGGCACUGAGAUACGGGCCAGACUCCUACGGGGGGGCAGCAGUAGGGAAUAUUGGGCAAUGGACGCAAGUCUGACCCAGCCAUGCCGCGUGCAGGAUGAAGGCGUUAUGCGUUGUAAACUGCUUUUAUACAGGAAGAAACGACUCUUGCGAGAGGCAUUGACGGUACUGUAUGAAUAAGCACCGGCUAACUCCGUGCCAGCAGCC